CUUGCUCCGCGUGUACUCACGGGAGGACUCGCAGACGUUACUGCCUUCUUGCGUGCCCCGGCCACCCCCGGGCGGCUUGUAGCCGGUGCGCGGGGUGGCUGGGGCUACGUGCAGAGCUGUCGCGGAGCCGGAACAGCAGCGGUGAAGCCCCUCGGCUCGGCCGAGACCGCCGUGCCCAUUGCUCGCCUCGGUUGCCGCCGCUUUAGCCGCAGCCGCUGCUGCCGCCGCCGGGGGAGAGGCAGCCUAUUGUCUUUCUCCGCGGCGAAGGUGAGGAGCUGUCUCGGCUCGGCCCGCGGGGGAGCCCCGGGAGCCGCACGGUGGCAUUUUUCAACUCCGCUGGAGCCAAUGCCCAGGAGGAACAAAGGGUGUGCUGCCAGCCCCUGGCUCACCCAGUGGCCUCGUCCCAGAAAAAGCCAGAGGUAGCGGCCCCAGCCCCAGAGAGUGGGGGUGAGUCUGUGUUUGGGGAGACCCACCGGGCCCUGCAGGGGGCCAUGGAGAAGCUGCAGCGACUUUAUGGAAGGAGAAGGUGGACCUGAAGGAGCGGGUAGAGAAACUAGAGCUUCAAUUCAUCCACCUCUCAGGACAGACAGACACCAUAGAAAGUACAUCAGCCAGGGGGCAGUGUCAGAGACGCAGCACUGGGAGAGGAGGACAUCGUCAGGCUGGCCCAGGACCAGGAGGAGAUGAAGGCUUUUAUCCUAGAUCACCACUGGAUUGCUGACAGAUAGAGGACGUGGGACCGUGACUAUCACCCCUAAUCUGCAGUGGAUUUGGCUCUCGGCACUCCCAGGCUGGGAGCUGGAUACCUGCCCUGGCAGCAUGACUCAGACUGCAUGACAGGUACGGCGUGCCCAGGAUGAUGUGCCCAGGCCUCUGGCCGCCUGAGUCCAGCCCCCCACACAACCCCCUCCAAGCUCCCAGCCCCUACACCAUAAACCAUGAGCUCUGUGCCCUCUCUGAUGGUUCCACAUCUGCCACCUUCGGCAUGGAGCCUGUUGUAAGAGCCCCCAGGCUCAGCCAUGGAGACCUUGAGCAGUGGCACUGAGUCCUGUGGCUGGCAGGGAGGGAAGUGAGACAGCCAGCAGCACAAGGACAGAAAGAGGAAAGAGCAAGGCUGCAGCUCUAGAAGGGAGGGGCAGGCAGCCUGGCUCUGAGGCUCCAGGUAUGCCCCCUGUGUGGAGCUGGGGCAGCGGGGCGGGCAGACCAUUCAUGCAGCAGGCAGUGAGGCAUGUACCUACCAUGGCUGAUGCUCCUCAGGGGCCACUGAUAGUGAUUCUGAAAGACAGCAUCAAAUCACAUGGCAGGUCCCAUGCAUGGGUGGGGCAGGCCUGGGGGUGGCGGACACACGCACACGCCAGAUUGUGCACACACAUGCUGUGAGGCCCCACGGCCCGCAUGCACACUCUAACACAUGCCCACAAACAACACGCAUACGUCGCCCUCUCCGCCACCUCCCGGUGCCCAACACCCUCACCAGCCGGCACGUGCCGCAUGGAUCUGGGGCGUGCAGCCACUCGGCACACUGAAGCACAUGCGUGGGCAGAGUCACAACACAGAUGCUCACCCGCACACAGAGGCAUUUGCACCAGCUCCCUGCACACUCGUGCCUGGCGUGCUCAGAGGACCACCCAUCCUGCUCAGGGAGACAGGGCUUGCUCACUAAUGUCCGGCUGUCAUUUCUCCACCUAAGAGCCUUCCAUGGCUCCCUACUGCCUACAGCGUUGAAUCCCAACAAGUCAUACUCUUUGGACUUUGAAGGUUCUCCACCCUGUGCCCCACCCUCCCCACAGAGCUCUUCCUCAUUCUGUCUCUGUUCCCUGCUUUGGCCAGUGGCUAUCCUCAAUGUGACCCACACUACACCUCUGCCCACACUGCAGCUCUUUACCCAGUUACCCUCCAGUUCCUCACAACGUAUGCCUAUCUCAGUCAUGCCCCGGACUGCAUUGAAGCCAGGCUGCCUUGAAGAAGCUCUCCCAGACUGCCCUUUUCCCCAAGGC
RNA transcript from Homo sapiens (human), 1997 nucleotides. It is a transcript of the gene named golgin A2 pseudogene, with no coding region annotated. NCBI's taxonomy places the organism in Eukaryota, Metazoa, Chordata, Mammalia, Primates, Hominidae. The record is from RefSeq and is marked validated.